This is a non-coding RNA of Vicugna pacos (alpaca), 893 nucleotides long. The record is from RefSeq and is a predicted model, not a curated record. NCBI's taxonomy places the organism in Eukaryota, Metazoa, Chordata, Mammalia, Artiodactyla, Camelidae.
CAAUUAUUGGGAGAGGUUUAAAAAAAAAAUCAUUAUCAAAUAACUAUAGCUUGAAAAAGUUGGCGGGCUGGAGGGAAAACGUGGCCUGGAUUGCGCGGUGGCCGCCUCCGCUCCUGGCGCGCCGCGCCGCGCCGCGGUAGCCAAAAAUGGAAGGAAGCACAUCUGUAACGCAUUUAUGUGAUGUUCACCUUUGAGACCGCGCGGUUGCAAGGAGGCGAACGCAACUGACAGAGAGACUUGCAGAAAUUGGACCCUCCCCGCGGGUGGCUGGUGGGAAUGGAGCAUGCCCAGAAGGGAGUCGGCGGCAUAGGAUCACUUCCUUCUCCCAAAGGUACCAAUCAGAUUGGAAUGACCUAUAAACCUGGGUUACCAGAUGAAGGGAAGGAUCAGGCUGCAGUGGACACCAAACACAUUGAAGCUGGAGGAUUCCGAGGAGGUCCAGGAAGAGGGGCAUCUGGGGGCACGCGCUUCAGCUGGAGCUGUUCUGUUCUUAUCCAUUUUAUACCCCGGGAUUCUGCCUGUGAUUUCCCGUGUCAAGCGAGUUCAAUUUCUGAAACAGAAUGAAAAGCCACUGAUCUUGUCCAGAGGAGGCAGUUACUGGCUUUCUAUCCCUCAGGCCUCCCUGCCAGCCACUGGCUUGAGGUGAGAGCAGGACCAGUCAACAUGCAUCGAGCAGACAUUGAUCACGCAGCCACCAGUGGGGCGAGUUAGCCUGGGGCGGGAAGUCAGCCACAGCGCCCGUGUGACAGGGGAUGCCUGGGGUCCGAUGCCGUCAGAUCCCACAACGGGCUUGGCGAGGCCAACACGACACAGAGAGUGUCCAAGCAUGUGGGCUCGUCAGGGCUUGGCCACAGCUGGCAUUUAAUGAAUGCUGCUAAAUGGAAAAGAGCAAA